RNAcentral lists this long non-coding RNA (210 nucleotides) under Lathyrus oleraceus (garden pea). RNAcentral describes it as "Pisum sativum (pea) long non-coding RNA (PSAT_LNC016961)". The record is from RNAcentral. Lineage: Eukaryota; Viridiplantae; Streptophyta; Magnoliopsida; Fabales; Fabaceae.
GAGACUUCAACUUAGGGAUCGUUUGCAUGACAACUUUUAGGCUCGAGUCGUAGUCUCCCUAUUAGUCUGUUAUCUCCCUAGUCUCUGGUUAGGAGGAAGUUUCUCCCUUGUUAAGGGGAACUACGUUGCCCUGAUUCUCAUACCAGAUGAGAUACGUAGGCAGGAGAUUGAGCGAGAUCUCUCCGGGCGCCCUUUUUCUUUUUUCACCCU